RNAcentral lists this ribosomal RNA (186 nucleotides) under uncultured Actinomycetales bacterium. Its description in RNAcentral is "partial 16S ribosomal RNA". It matches the Rfam family "Bacterial small subunit ribosomal RNA", at positions 152 to 334 of the family's 1533-position model. The record is from RNAcentral. Lineage: Bacteria; Bacillati; Actinomycetota; Actinomycetes; Actinomycetales.
GGAAACUGGGUCUAAUACCGGAUACGACCAAUCUCCGCAUGGGGUGUUGUUGGAAAGCGUUAUGGAGUGGUUUUAGAUGGGCUCACGGCCUAUCAGCUUGUUGGUGAGGUAAUGGCUUACCAAGGCGACGACGGGUAGCCGGCCUGAGAGGGUGACCGGCCACAUUGGGACUGAGAUACGGCCCAG